RNAcentral lists this ribosomal RNA (783 nucleotides) under uncultured bacterium. RNAcentral describes it as "bacterial SSU rRNA". It matches the Rfam family "Bacterial small subunit ribosomal RNA", at positions 8 to 796 of the family's 1533-position model. The record is from RNAcentral.
AGAGUUUGAUCCUGGCUCAGGACGAACGCUGGCGGCGUGCUUAACACAUGCAAGUCGAACGGUAAGGCCCUUCGGGGUACACGAGUGGCGAACGGGUGAGUAACACGUGGGUAAUCUGCCCUGCACAUCGGGAUAAGCCUGGGAAACUGGGUCUAAUACCGAAUAGGACCACAGGACACAUGUCCUGUGGUGGAAAGCUUUUGCGGUGUGGGAUGGGCCUGCGGCCUAUCAGCUUGUUGGUGGGGUGAUGGCCUACCAAGGCGACGACGGGUAGCCGGCCUGAGAGGGUGUCCGGCCACACUGGGACUGAGAUACGGCCCAGACUCCUACGGGAGGCAGCAGUGGGGAAUAUUGCACAAUGGGCGAAAGCCUGAUGCAGCGACGCCGCGUGGGGGAUGACGGCCUUCGGGUUGUAAACCUCUUUCACCAUCGACGAAGGUCCGGGUUUUCUCGGGCUGACGGUAGGUGGAGAAGAAGCACCGGCCAACUACGUGCCAGCAGCCGCGGUAAUACGUAGGGUGCGAGCGUUGUCCGGAAUUACUGGGCGUAAAGAGCUCGUAGGUGGUUUGUCGCGUUGUUCGUGAAAUCUCACGGCUUAACUGUGAGCGUGCGGGCGAUACGGGCAGACUUGAGUACUGCAGGGGAGACUGGAAUUCCUGGUGUAGCGGUGGAAUGCGCAGAUAUCAGGAGGAACACCGGUGGCGAAGGCGGGUCUCUGGGCAGUAACUGACGCUGAGGAGCGAAAGCGUGGGGAGCGAACAGGAUUAGAUACCCUGGUAGUCC